Molecule: long non-coding RNA, 11775 nt
Filed under: Arabidopsis lyrata
Lineage: Eukaryota; Viridiplantae; Streptophyta; Magnoliopsida; Brassicales; Brassicaceae
Description: long non-coding RNA (ALYR_LNC001563)
Source: RNAcentral
CUCUCAAUUGGUUAACACUGCCUAGUAAAAAGGAAGUGUGGAAGAAAACAGUUCUCUGUAUGAAGGAAAAAAGAACAAAUGGUGGAUCUCUUUGGGUUUCAGUGAUAGAGAUAGAGAGAGAGAAAGAGAAGAUAGAGAGAGACUGUGGUUUGUGUUGUGUUGUGUGUAUGUGUGUUGUGCAGAUCGAAACAGAGGCUUAAAAUGGACGCUGGGCAAUCAGAGAUUUGGGUUUACCAUAACAAAGUUUUUGAUUUUGAUUUUUUAUUUUUUACUAUUUAUGGUAAGGAAGUGACAUUUGUAUAACCUACAUUCAUGAAUCUAGGGUUUUGUAAGAGUAAGAUUUUCAAAAUCUUGAUAAGAUUAUUAUGAUGAUAGUAACGCAACAAGAUCUAAUGUCACUUAAUUAACACUCAACCAUAGUUUAGAAGAUAGGUUAGGUUAAAGUUUGAAACCAAGAGCAAAGAGACGAGUGGAAUUUGCAUGGUGAACAAGUGUUGCAAAAGUUCUGUAUCUUCCUUUUUUCCAGAAUUCAAUGGCGUCUUCCUCUCUCUCUCUACCACAUUAAACUCUAGGUUUUAAAGUCCAUUUAACUCUCAUUACUUACUGGUCAACAUGUGAUUUGUAUAUACGUAGAUUCUACGACUUAUUUUUAGGGGAAAAGAACAUUUUGUGACCAAGAAUAAAGGCUUUUUGUUUCUACAGACUCAGACGAUAACUGAUUUGGAAGAGAAGAGGAGGAUUCAUUGUACCUUUGAGAUUACUUGACUUAGGUUGAAAUAGCAAAUUUGUCUCAUAGCUUAAAGCUAGAAUAUCAAACUCCAUACGAAAAUCGUUACUUGAUUUUCAUUUAGUAACGCCCGUAUCAGAGAAAAAAUGGAAAGUGAAUGGAACAAUAUAUAUUAGUUAUACAGAAAGAAAAAAAAAUGUAAUCCACCAAAGAUAUGUUUUUUUAUUAAAAUUAAAUCAUAGAAAAUAAAGAAACAUGAAUUGGAAUUUGUAAAGUUAUGCAUCUAGAUAAUACUAUGGAAAUGUGUUAUCAUUCGUUAAUCAUUCAAUAUUCUACGAAUUGUAGAUUACGACAUAGUUAUGAUAUUUGUUAGUACAACCUGACAACAAUUACUUUAUUAUAUACUUAGAUUGACAAAAAAAAUUAAAUCAGUGCUAUUAUUUAUCAAUCUAUAUUGUUGUUAUUUUUACUAACAAAUACCAUUUAUAUGUCAUAAUCUAUAAUUCGUGGAAUGAUUUUUUUUUCUUUUUGUCAACAACUUUUAAUUAAAAAUAAAAAAAAUCAUUCCUGGGAAAUGUUGUUUACAUAAGUGAUAUGAUGCGGUUCGGUACGAACUUUUCGUGCCAAAUUAUCCGCUUUAACAUUUGCACUACGAGGAAUUCGUGGAAUGAUUGAUUAACGAAAUGAAUAACACAUUUUCCAUGGUUUUUAAACUAGAUGCAUAAUUUUUCAAAAUUUCAAUUAUUGUUUCGUUAUUUUUCUAUGAUUUAAAUUUAACAAAAAAAACAUAUAUGUUUGGUCGAUGAAGAUUUUUUUCUCUGAAAUUUAAUAAAUAUAUUGUUCCAUUCUACUUUAAUUUCCAUUUUUCCUGAUAAGGGAGUUACUAAAUGAAAAUCAGGUAACGAUUUUGGCAAUCUAAGUAAUAUACUAAAAUAAUUUUCGACUCUGUACGGAAUAUUUUCGGGGAAAGUAUGGGGUGAGGACAAGUGGAAACGAUUCUCUCCAAAUUUAAUAAAAGAUUCUUCUCUCUUUUUAUCAUGACUUUAAAACUCUAAUUAAUCUGCUAAAACAAAAAGAAUAUUAAAUAGUUAUUCAUUUUAGCGUACACUGUAUAUGUAUAAUGAAUUUUUUUUACAACUAUAAUGAUAGUUCAUGAUUUUUGAAUGAAAACUCGUCAAUCAAUAUUGACAACUAAGUAAAGAAUCCUUUAGUUAUAAUUUUAAAGUUCAUAAAGAAAGAAAAAGAAAAAUUCACUCAUUAAAUUUGGAGAGAAUGGUUUCCACUUAUCCAUGAAACAUUUUUCAUUAUAACACAAAAGACGUAUAAUUAGCAAAUCGAAGCUAUAUUUCAUUUGAUUUUACUUGACUUUUGUUUGAUUAGAAAACUAUCUCAGGUCUUAAUAUAAACUCAACAUUAUAGAUUGCAUAUUAAUCGGAGACUAAUUAAACUUUUUCCAGUAAGCUACAAAAAUAUACUUAAAUAAUUCUUCGACUCUAAAUGGAUACUUUUUGGAAUGGUGUUGGAUGGGGAGGAAUCUACUAUACAUUUUUGCAGCAGUUUUUGGGGUAUCCAAAUCGGGUCAAAUUUAUUUAAUUUUGACCCGGCAAUCUUCAAUCGGAUCUUUCCUUAAAUUUUGGCAAAAUUAAAAAACGAAAAUAAUUAAUAAAAUCUAAAAUAUAUAUACUUUCUCAACUAAUUACUAUAUUUAAACGCUUUAUUUAUGGUAUAUUCUCCACGAUUUUUAUAGAUAAAGAAAUCAAAUAUGAUGAUUUAAUGCUAAUAUAACAAAUUUGCACUAAUUUCCUAAAACCUCUACCUAAUUUAAACAUAAAUAUAUGAUUCUUAUUUCACUUUUAUUUGAUCUUAUAUUUAUAUUAUUUUAAAUUAUUAUAAAAUAUAUAAAUAGUUAGUAAAUUUUAGUUUUUUUUUUCUGCAUAUGUUACAAUUCAAAUUUUUUUAAAAGGACAUAUAUUACUCAAUCGAUGAAUAAAAAUAUGUGUGUAAUCUAUAUUAACAUUUUUAAGAACAAAUUGAGCAUUUAAUCAUGUCGUUAUUUUAUUCAGACCCGAAAUUGAGUCAUUCGGAUCUUUCUUUAAUUUUUAUAAUUAUCUAAAAUGGGACAGUAUAUCACGGGUGAAAUCCUAAUUAGUAUUUUAAGAUACAAUUAUAAAUUGUUUUUACGGGUUGGUCCAAAAACACACACUAAUUUAAAAAUAUACAUGGAAACUAUUUGAAAGCAACUUUCAAAUUAACUCGAAUUAUAUAACAUUUAAAUAAAAGUGUUAUUAAAAAAAUAACAAAAUGAUGUUUAAUUUCAUUUUAGAUUAUAUGGUUGGACGGGUUUGGGUCAAUAUUAAUACGAGACAAUAUACCAAUACAACUUAAACAUUAAACAAAACAAAUACAACUUAAAUUUUUUUAUUUUAGAUACAACGCAUGUUACCCGCGGUAUACAACAAAAAAUAUUAUACACAAUAAAUUCAUCAAUUUAUAAAAAUAAAAAAAUCAAAUAAUUAACCCGCGGUGUACCGCGGAUCAUAACCUAGUUGAAGAGUUAAAAAUAUAUUAAAAUAAUCUCAAACUGGGUAAGAAAAAAAAAAAAAAAAAAAUUCUCUCAUUAAGUUUAGAGAGAUUACAUGCCACUUUCCAUGCACAAAAGUAGCAUGUAAUCUCUAUAAACUUAAUGAGAGAAUCUUUUUUUUUUUUUGGGUUCUUUCUUACUCACUCAAAAAUUUAGUUAAGUAAUAGUAUAUGAAAUAGAGAUACAUAAAUAUAUUUGACUACUAUAAUAUGCACAUGUAUUUAAAAGAGAAAUAUUGUAUUGAUUUUCUUUUUAAAAUAAACAGUAUUGUAUAUACAUAUGAUAUACUGUAUUGGAACAUAAACGUGUAUCAUGCAAGAGGAGUAACGUCUAUUUCAAUUAUGAUCUGAAACUCUGAAACUUUUAGUUUAAAUUUUUUAAGUUUUUAAGAAUUUGUUAAUAAAUUUAGAAAUUCUAUGUAUGAUUAGGAUUUUUAAAAAUAUACUUAGAAAAUUCGUUUUCUUUCCAUAUAAUUUAAUAUUUUUUAUUUAAAUACUAAUACUUUUUAUUAAAAAGUUGAAAAAAGUUAAAUAGACGUUAAAAAAAAACUAAUUUUUUUCAACUUUUUAUUAUAUUUAACGUCUAUUCUAAUAAACUAUAGAAUAUAUUAUAUUUCAUAGAAUUUUAACUCCACUAAUUUUUUUUGAUGCUCUAUAUGAAAUUGUGUUUUCUUAUAUAUCUUUGUUUUGCUUUUGGUUUUCAUUUAUCUUAAUUUUUACUGUUAUUUAUGUAUUAUUUAGAUUAUUUUUCAAAAUCAAAAAUCAAAAGAUAUGUUUAUUGUAUUAUAACAUUAUUCCAAAAGAUAUGUUUCUACUAUUUAAAAAUUAUUAUAUUUGUUUUAGUUAAUAUAAUAUUUAUAUAGUAGAAACAUAUCUUUUGGAAUAAUGUUAUAAUACAAUGAAUUAAAUAUAUAAGCGAUUCCACCACAUACCUAUUUUUCGGAAAAAAACGCAUCGGCGAUUCCAGAUGUUUCACUUUCGUGUACUCACUUCCAAUUUCAUGCAACCUACAAUCAAUUAUCAUUCAAGCUUAAUCGUAACAACUCCAAACAAGAAAAAACAUGCAUGCAAAUUCAGUCAUCUAUCGACAAUAUAUAUUAUUAAUGUGAUAUAAUGGAAUAAAAAUGGUAAGACCAAUGUAAUAAAUGAAAAAAAGGGACGAAUUUUUUUUUUUGGGUCAUUUCAUCAUCCAUAGAUAAUAAUUUUUUAGUAAGUCUCUAAUGUGUUUGUUAAUAGAAUUAAAGAAAGUAAAGAUCAAAAAAGUAUUACAUAGCAUCACAAAUUUUUCAUCAUGUGAAUUUCGAUUUUGGAAAGCAAAAGAAAUUGCUCACUAAUAAGAAUUUAGGAUAUAUAACUUCAAGAUCUUUAUUAUUGUAAAUAGUAGAUCCUUCGUGCUAGGUUAUUAACCAAAAAUAAAAACUUAUCUCUAGCAGAUUCGUAAUAGAUGAUUGAGUUUUGAAUUCCGGUCCAUAUUAUUUGACGGUAUGUCGAUUUUGGCCGCAUUUUGCAGUGGUUUCCAGGAUUCACUUUCAUUGGCGGUGCCGAUUUUCUUCAGAUAUCACUCCAAGGCAUUGAUGGAAAGAUGUUAUAUCUCCGUUGAUUGCAAGCCGAGCUUCACCAAAGAAGGCAACAAUAGUGUGAUUUUCUGGCGAUUUACUCUCUUUGAAAUAAUACUUUAAUUCUCACAGAAUCCUUUUUUUCUUUUGCGUUAUAGCGUGAUUUUUCACACUUCUCACGCACACGAUGCCUUUUAGUUUUAAAGUGAUAAGUGCGGUUACUUUUGUCGAUGCUUUCUAUCUAUAUCAAGCCACGCGUACGAUUCACGAUGACGUCUAUUGAUAGAAUACCUUCGAUUAAAUUUUUGUCGUCUUCAUAAUAAAUACCAUAUAUUGAACAAUCUUUUUCUUCGGAUUUUCAGAAAUUUUCACUUCAAUUACCUUUCUAGGUAAUAUCAUGACAAGCUAUCUUGCCCUUCAUUUGCCAUUUUCUAAGUUCAUAUUUUAUGUUCCAAAUUACAACUCUUUACUCUUGGCCACCAUUUGACACUUCGAGUAUGAUCGAUUCUUUCAAUGUUUUUUCAUAGGUUGACUUGACAACUUAAUCCUCUUGUAUAACCAAAAAUAUUCUUGUACACUAGGCUUCUUCUUCGACUAAUGUCAUACAAUCUACAUCUCACUAGACUCAUUGCGUCUACGUCAAAUUUCUCCAUCUUGAACAACUUAUGUUGGUGAAUUUUCUUACAUUUGGUAUUAGUUUUCUCAUAGAUAAGGUUAAUGUUCGGAAUGAUGCAGCUAAGCAGAGUCGGCCCUUGGGCCAAGCCCAUGAAACAUUUGCUUGUGAUCCUGAAUUAUAUAAAUAAUUUUUGGCUUUAAUUAUUCAUAUAGUUUACUUUAGUUUUGUGGUCUUGAUUUUUGUUUUGUGGGAGUGAUGUCUCCAAGCCCUUAGUAACAUUUUUUUUUAUAAAUAAAACAAUAUAUUAAAACAAAAAUUAGUUUACUUAAUGAAAACUACAAGACAAGGCAACAAUCUGUUUUUCGUUUCUCUCCUUUUUCCUCCUUGCGAUCGUCGUUGUUGUCUUUUCCAGACUCUCUUCAACCUUGCAAUUUCCAACAAGGCUGUUUUGGUUUUCUUGUCAAUUUUUAUUUAUCUAUGAAUAUGUAAACAUAAAACAUCCCAUUUUCUUUUAUUUGUUUCUGACCUUUCAAAACUUAGAGCCGGCUCUGCACCAAAGUCAAGAACUACACAAUCGAUCAAUCUAUCAACCAAUAAUAUGAGAUUGACAGUUUAUAAUCACAUCAUGAGUUUUACUUUGAUUAUAAUCGAUGCAUGCAUCAACAAUCACGUGUAUAUCUGCUUUCGCUCCAUCCUCUUUGUUCUCAAACAAUUUUCUUGAUUUACCAUGCUUUAACACAAUUUCAACACUUUCGUUAGUUGUUUUAUCUUGGACUUAACCCUUCCAAACUUUGAUUUUUCAAUUUUGGUUUAUGCUUAGUUUUCUACAUUGAGAACAAAGCUCAACACUGUCUCACAGAGUUGAUCUCUAAAAUCAUCGAAUUUAAAAAUCUGAUUACCCAACAAAUUACUAAUUUUUACCCUCAUUAGCUCAAAAGGGACUAGCAUAGACAAUACAAAACCAGUGCUCGCACUUCAUUUUCAAAGUUGAUAUACAUAACCACUUUUACCCAUCAUUAGGUGAACAAUUAUUUCUAUGUGACACACCUUAUUAUUAACUAAUAUAAUUUUAUAAUUUAUCUAAAGUUUUAGUUUAAGCAACAUAAUUAGAAUCUUUAUCGACAAAGGUCUUUUCUAGUUACUCUCCCUUCCAUUUGCCAUAGAGAUGGCAUGAAGACCACUAAUGCUUUGAGUAUUCUGAUUUCAACAUUGGUGAUUCUCCCAAUCAGAUUCAUACGGUUAACACCUAUAAAUAUGGUUUCUUCGGUGCCCAUGAUUAGUCUUUGGGCCUAGAAAGCUUUUAGAAUCACCUGAGUUGAUCAAUAAAAAGUUGUAUGCAUUUGGUAUCUGAAUGGGAGUUUCUUUUACCCAUCUAGCUACUAGAGUUUGCCAUUCCCUUUCCUUCUUAGAUUUAGAAUAGUGACGACUCAUAAUCAUAUAUAGAUGAACUUGGACUCCUUCAAUAUUAAGAUGGAGAGGAGCUUGUUCCCAAGGGAGAAAGCUCAGUAAUUAAUAAAGAGGAAGAGAAUAGCAACAAUUCCAUUAGUCUUUCUAGAGAUAUUUUUUAAGAUGAGUGUUGUGAGGUCAAAGUAAAAAGAUAGUCUUCUAAGCUACACUAAGAUUUUGAAAUAGUUAAAAAAAAAAUCAAAUAGGUGAAACAUGUAGAGGCUAAAGACAUGAUUCACACACAAAAUUUGAGAGAAGAUCGAGAAUGAGAUACGAUUGAUUUGCACUGGACAAUAAGAUAUGCGACACAAACACUCAAACUAGGACAAUGGAGGGAUAUCUAUCUCAAGAGGUGGAAGAGACGACCAAUCGAAGCUCAGAACUAGAAGAAGAGAAAGGCUAGCUAGAUUCAAGAAAUUUUUCAUGUAAGAUGACCUAGACACCUCACGAGUCAAGGGAAGGUGUACUUUUACCUAGGUGGCAAGGGACCGGAGGGGAGGAGAUGAGAAGAAAAAAGAAAACGACCGGUCGAAAAGCUUCGAUUAAAAAAUCGUUAAAAUCUUUUUAUUUUGGUAAUAGUAGUUUAGAAUGAAUAAUCUUUUGUAUUGUAUGAUAAAUUAUAUAUUUGAAAAAUAUGGAAACCUAUUUACCCUUCAAACUUAGAAAAUAAUUAAUUUCACAAUAUUAGUUGUAAAUUGCAUAUGUAAACACAAAAUCUAUUCUUUUCAUUUGCUUUCUUGUUUGUAAAUAAAUAUAGCCUCUGCUUGUACUAUUAAAGGAAAAAAAACAUGAUUCAAAGGUAAUGAAAUUUAAUAAGAUGAUCGAUAAAAAGAGCAGAGAGGACCACCUAGAGGGACAAAUCAAAAGGGACACAUCUUAUGUUUUCAUUUUUCAAUAUGAAAUAUAUAUGUAUACGUUUUGUUUGUAUGUAUUAUGUAAAUAUAGUGUAAAUGUGUUUUUUCUUAUGUACUAAGUAGGCAUUCUUUAAUGUAAGACCACUAAGGCAUGAUUUGGGUCUUUUUUGGGCUUAACCUUUGAUUUCACAUGAACUAGCAAAAUCCUCUGUAAAGAAAAGAGAUAUUGUUACUGUAAAAAAAAAAGAGGAGAUAGAUAUUGUAACGUUGAUUUGAUUUGGGGUUGGAGGUGAUUUUGUUAAUUGGUUCUUUCAACCAAAUGCUAAGAUGUUUUUUCUAUAUACUAACAAAACUCAGCUCAACUACGUAUAUAACCAAACUUUUGACAAAUGCGGACAUGGACACGAUCUGUCAUGCACUACAAAAAAAAUUAUAUAUAUUUUGACAAAGUAAUCAUAAGUCAUAACCAAAUAAGAGAAAAUUUUGGGUUGAAUUUAUUUUAUCUUAUUUUAAACUAUCAAAUAGAAAGAUUUUGGACUCAAUAUACUUGUUAGAUUGACUAACAAACAAUGACUAUUGAAUUGUAAUAUCUCCAAGUGGAUCGAACCCUUUACGAGAUGAUCAUUUAAAAGUAAAAACAGAAAAAUAUAUAAUUACUUGAAGGCCGCAAGCCCAAGCUUGUCUCGUUUGGGCUCAUGGACGACUGUGUCUAUAGUGCAUGAUAUCAACAAAUUAAACAACCAAAUAUCAACACAAAAAGUCAAGAACUACAUAUUUUAUUUGGCUGAUGAACAUAAAAAAAGAAAGUCAAAGAUACUUUACCAACAACUGUCAAAGACGAAUCGACCUUAGGAGCACGCUCGCUGUGUUUUACUUCAAGCACCUUAAUAUUUUUUACUCUGCUAAUGCACAUCAAGAGAAACAAUGCACCUCAAGAAAAACAUGAUACCAAAAUAACACAAAACAUGAAACUUUGACGCGUCAGCGAUCAUCCAACUCUUUAUAAAAAGGUAGCUCUCUAAGGAGCGCAGUCCUUGACCUCCAAUUUUUUUUUUAUAAGCUAUCACAGCAAACCUAAUUUUCUUUUGAAUUUCCACCACACACACCUUCUCAUUGCCAUCAACCUAUUGUAGAAUGUUGGAUAUAGGAAUGUUUACUCAAUAAACAAGGUUAUCCCAUUAGUGUACAAAAGUACAAUUGCAAAAAGGCUUAGCAGAUGCCAAGAAAACUUUUCACGAAUUGAUGCAACCUCCAUUAUAGAGCUAAACUGAUCACCCUUCCGGUCUCUAUCUUCAUAAAUAAUUUUGUUCUGAAUACGACAUCAUAUUGGUCAGGACAUACGUAGAUAUAAAUAUGUAAACACAUAUUCAAGUCAGUUGAAAGAGCUAAUUAACCUUUUUUCUCAUAAAUAACACUUAUGAAAGUUGUAGAUGAACAAGUCUAAUAGCUGAGUUACUCUUUAAGUGUAUAUGAGUUAGGAUAUAUCAAACCGCGCAUAAUAUGUACUUUAUGGGCUCAUCAGACUAAACUUUUCCAAAUACCACAACAGCGAAAGGCAGGCCUGACACUAAAGCGGGUGAAGCCAUUGUUUUAGGCAUCAAAAAGUAUAUAUAGUAGUAAAAUGCAUCAAUUUUGAAAAAAAUUCGUAGUAUCGUUGUUAAUUUCAAGGUACAUAUCAUUCUGGUGCAUGGUUUGAACCUCGGUUCUGUUAUUUUGUAAUUGAUUUUUUUAUUAAAUGGACUUAACGAUGUUUUAGGCAGCAAAAUCGGUUGGAUCAGCCCUGGCGAAAGGUUUGGUACUUUUUCAACUUUUUACCUGAGAGAACCAAAUGCUAAGAUGUGUUUUCUAAAACAUAAUUUUUUUUUUUGGGUGCACCAUAGAAUACUGAGUUUUACUAACCACAAAUUUUGCAAUCACAAAGUGUUACUAUUUCAUAAGACUAAUGAAUAACUAAAACAAACUCGCCAUUCCAUAGUUUUUAUGAAGGACUGUUUCAUAAGUUAUAUAUUUUAAUUAUUGGGAUUAUUACGGAUUUUACCAUUUGCACUCAAAUUUUAAGGAUUUGCAUUUUUUCGCACUUCAAAAUUAAUACAUUAAUGAUUUUUUUUAUAAUAUACAUUCUUAAUAACAAACAUUAAACUCUAAAAAAAGAAACCAAAUAAACUUAAGCAUAAUGUGAAAAAUUGUAUUUUUAGAUCUUUAAAAAUAGCAGAUCUAAAAAUUUGAAGGUAAAAUGGCAAAAUCAACAAAUAUAUUAUUAAGAAAAAGGGUUUUUCCCUAAUAGAUUCUUAUGUUAUUACUUAAAAAUGUUUGCACUAUGGUAUUACAUUUUUAUUGGUCUCUAUUUUUUAUAGUAAUUUACGAUUUCAUAGUUCUAAACAUUAUCAAUCAAAACGUCUGUGUAUAUUUGGUAGUAACUAACAAAUACAUCAAGUUAUUUGGCUUAAAUUAGUUUGGUUGGAAAAGUUAUAUAGAUGAGUUUUGUUUUUGAAAUUCAUUUGUCUAAUAUCUUUUGUAUUCAACAUUUAUUAUUUCUGCAUAUAAAGUAUAGCCUUAUAAGAGAUUCGACCUAUCAAAAUGUGUUUAUACAUCUACUGAUGACUUGAGAUUUCAAUCAAUAGAGUGAAACCAGCAAAUUACGGCUAGGAAAUGAUUUACGAAAACUCGAGAUGAUGAAGUGGAACAGGGGAGCUUCGGGGGACUGCGUUUUGUGUAACCAAUGCACGGAAACUCGAGACCAUCUCUUUUUUUCUUGCAGCUAUGCUUCGGAAGUCUGGGAGGCACUAGCUAAAGGCGUGUUUAGAUCUCAUUAUUCAACCGACUGGACCCAAAUCCUCCAUCAUGUCUCUGAUCACCAUCAAUGCCGGGUCGAGAGUUUCUUGACAAAAUACGUUUUCCAGGCCACUUUCUACACCAUUUGGAGGGAGCGGAAUGGCCGGAGACACGGGGAAGCGCCGAACAGUACGGCUCAGCUAACAAAGUGGAUCGAUGCUCAAGUUCGAAACCAGAUCACAACCAUUCGAAAACUGCCGGACCGUCGAUACGAAGCCUGUUUUCAAGCUUGGCUACAAAGCCGAAUAUAAGUCUUAGAAAUCUCAAACACAAUUUCAGUUCUUAAAUUUCUCAAACUCCCGAUGCACUAGUUGUAACAACGUAUAUUUUUUCUUUUGAAUAUAAUUUAACAUUAAAUUCAAAAAAAAUGAUUUACGAAAACAAAAACUGCAAUUAUGCUUAAUUUAGGGUAAUAAUGAAAAUUUGACAUAGGAUUAUAUAAAGGGGAAAGAGAGAGAAAUUAAGUGGUGGUCUUCACAUGGCAGCCAUUUUUAGAAUAUGAUGAGAUACAAGAGAUGAGUGGACCUAUCCACAAAAACAACAAUGCCAAUCCACCAAUAUUCCCAUUUAUAUCCAUACAUUCUUACAUUAACAUAUCAUAAAGAGUUUAAAUUAAACAAAACAUGUCUUGACAAAAUUAGACAUGAAUUAAUUGCCCCAAUUAGAUCUUCAACAUUCAGCGAACGAUUUUAUUUUUGGUAUUAACAUAAAUUUACUAAUUAUUAUUAUCUUUCUGAUCCACUAGUGGUACUUUUUUUGCAAUAAUAUUAAAGUGAUACUCUUCCAUGGUUAAAAAAAAACGAACUGUUUGUAAAUUUGUAAACUAGAUUUCUACAUUUAUGAAUGUAAGGAAUGAUUGCAAAGAUCCAUCUAACAAAAGAUGUAAGUCAUUUGUAGGAUAAUAUAAUAUUAUGGAUGUAUAGAAGAAUAUGCAUAAAAAAAAAAAAAAAAAAAAAAAAAAAAAAAAAAAAAAGAAGAAUAUGCAAUAAUAUGUAUUUUAUUAAUGUUUCUAUCCCACUGAUGUAUUUUACACUUCAAUUGCUAAUUCAUUCUAAUUUAGUUAUUGUUAGCUAAUUAAUUAGUCUUAUAUCAAAUAUUUUCUCUAAAAAGUAAAAACAACUAAACAAAAGUUUGGUGGUCAGAGCCUCAGAGGCAAGGAAGUGA